This 23-nucleotide non-coding RNA is filed under the name Arabidopsis thaliana (thale cress). The record is from RNAcentral. Lineage: Eukaryota; Viridiplantae; Streptophyta; Magnoliopsida; Brassicales; Brassicaceae.
AGAAGUCCUCGUGUUGCAUCCCU